UGCAGUCAGGCUGAAGGGCGUUUA
RNAcentral lists this non-coding RNA (24 nucleotides) under Mus musculus (house mouse). The record is from RNAcentral. Lineage: Eukaryota; Metazoa; Chordata; Mammalia; Rodentia; Muridae.